Molecule: RNA transcript, 4678 nt
Organism: Zea mays
Lineage: Eukaryota; Viridiplantae; Streptophyta; Magnoliopsida; Poales; Poaceae
Gene name: SAC3 superfamily protein and akyrin-repeat superfamily protein pseudogene
Exons: 21
Source: RefSeq, a predicted model, not a curated record
GUUGUGCAAAGAGAAGAGCAAAAUAUCUACACCAGACGUCUCUUUUAGGUACAGAGGGAUGGAGUCUUGUAAGAAGGUAGCUGCAAGCUUGAAGUCGUGUGAGCCAUGGGGGAACAGGGCAUCCUGGACAAACGCCGUUGGGCCAGGUUGGAAGUUGAGCUUUGCUGUUGAGCCAUGGACUAAGGGCUUUAGCGCGUCGUGUGCGGCGCCAUAUUCUGCUGGAGCCACAGAGCAUCAAUUAUCGCUCGAUGAGAAGGUGGAUAACUCCACCGUUGCAUCUGGUUUUGAUGGGUAAAGUUAUCUAUCAGCUAGAUUCAUGGCAGGAAAGGUUUUUUCUAUUGUCGGUAUCCAGCACCUAAGUAGGCCUAGGAUUUUUUUCUUCUAUCUUUAAUUAGCAAUUGCCUUUUUCAGCAACCCGUUCUUAUGAAUUUCUUUUAUUGACAACAUGAAUUAGUCUAUUUUAGUUCAUCUCUUUCUUGUCACAAAUUUAAAUGAAUAUAAUUGUUUGUUUCAGUGGCAAUUCUGUGAAGCCCAAAGGUUCCAAGUCACCAUGAAAAAAUUGAAAUGACGAGAUCUCUUAAUCUAAUUGUUGCACCUUGGAAGGUCUGAACCAUCAUAGUUUAAUUGUAUCACCCAUUUACACAAGUUCCUACCAUCAGAGUUCAACUGUAUCACCCAUCCAUAAGCAAUUCCUUUUGUUGAAAUUUAUGAGAAGACAUAUGCCUCUGUUAAGUCUCAGGAACUUUUUUGCUGGGAAGCCAAUUCCUUACUGAUCUGAGGGACAACAUUUUUGUUUGCCUGAUAUAAGGUGAUGAAGGUGGCUGGAUAACACGAUUAUGGGUAAAGUGUGAAAGGGAAACGCGAAAAGAAACGUGUCCUGGUCCCAAGUCACCUGCCAUACUGAACACGAUUGAUCGCAGAAAGAAACACGUUCUGGUCUAGACUGACAGUUUUGGAGCUGGAGCCGGCCAUGCGCUCGAUCAGAGUUCCGCUGCAGCCACGACCUCUCUCCCGAACGCGCACGAGGAGACCAGGUGGAACAUAUGCAAGCAGGUUCUAGAGCAAUAACCCCAUGAAUCCAGAUCGGGGGUCUGCAUCUACACGGGCGUGUACUCCGCACCGCUCCCCUCCGGCCCCGACCGCCGUGUGCUCGUUGUAGCCGGGGUCGACCUCAACCACGACGACGAUGCGGUCUCCUCGCCCCAGGCUCGACCUCCUCGCUGACCUCGCCCUGCUCCACCUCAACUCGCGAUGAGGAUUGUCGGCACGUUCACACCGCGCCGUUGCAGAACGUUGGAGCCUCUCAGAACUCUAGAAGCUGCCUACCACCACGCACCCUAAGAUAGGGGCAUAUCUGUGCAUGGUACCAUCUUCAUCAUGUAGCUGGGAUGAGCUGGCACCAUGAAAGAAUUCAAGUGGUUAAAUCAUGCAUCUGCAGAAAUAUUGUACUCUCAAAUGGUGGGUUGCUGCGUCAUGGGAGUUUGGGUGAAGGCCUGAAGGAUGUGAUGCAAAACGUCGAUGCAGGUCUGGGAUGUCCGCCUCAUUAUGGAUCAAAAUUCAUGACGUUCUAAAGGUGUCGGAUGAGUACCUAUAUACUCCCUCCCAGAAAACAAGGCGCCUCAUUACACUAUUGGAAGCUGGACGACAUGGAUGACUCUGGCAAGAUGCGGUGGGAGCACGACGACAUGGAUGACUCCGACCAUGAGUUCGACAGGAAGCCUAGCAACAGUACGCAGUAGCAAGGUUGACCAGAGGGGCAGUGGAGACUAACCCAACACCCCCUCCUCCGACCGUCAUAGCGCUUCUUUCCUCUGGCUUCAUUUCUUACCUAUGUAUGGAUGGUCUUCACCACUGGUUACAUCUAGCAAGUCCUCCUAGGGUGACAUGAAGGAGAUUGUCAUGCUGCCAAAGCACAUCAAGGACAAUGCAAACAAGGACAGAGGAAGACCGGACAUGCCAUUUCCAGGUGGUGACAUUUCUAUUCUCACGCGCCCACCCAACAUUUUUGCUUUUACUAAAUGACUAUGUGCGCGAAUGCUUUGUGGAUGUUGAGAGGGAUUAUCUGUGCUUGACAAAACAGUAUCCCAGACUUGCAAUUACUCCAGAAUUUUCUAAGGUUGGGCAUUUUGUACAUUGAACUUUUGUUGCUGAUCGAUAUUCAAUGUGGCUUUUGGCAUUCUCUGUCACUCUAGCUAGGUCCUUGGAUGAGCCACACUAUUGACAUGGGUUUAGAGAACUUCUCAAGGGCCCGCUGUAUUAUGCCUGUGCUAUAACUCUGACAACAAUAGUUUUCUGGAGGACAUCUCCCAUCUCAAUCGCGGUGAUCUGCAAUUUGUGUGCCGGAGAUGGAAAUGGAGGCAGCAUGCUGCUGACAAGCGAUUACUUAGGGAGCAGAAGAAUGCUCUUGCUGUUGCAGCAUUGUGUUCUCUAUCACUUGGCCCACCAGUUCAUAAAAGUACAACGGUGUCUAAGCUAGCAGUUGAAGAACUAGAUAUUGGCCACGCCUUUAAAGAAAGACAAGCAAGAAAGCAAAGGUCCUGGUCACGGCUAAAUGUUUCGGAGUUGUCUGGUCCCAUUCUAAAUGAAAAUAACCCUGAUGCUAGAUGCCUCUGCUGGAUGUUGCUUGUACUUGUUCCACCGGGUAUGGAAUCCCAGACCAACAGUUUUGUCUCAAAAUGGUUACUUAGAAAGCUCAUGGGUUAUGGAACCGGAUAUAUUGGAUUGGUUGUUUCUUCAGCAGGCCUAUCAAUUUGGACAGAGUGGAUCAGUUUUCCAAAUGCAUGUUGUUUGUCUGUUGUUAGGGCCAGCGAUCAGCAAGUUAUUGAUAAUGAUAUUUGGUCGUGUUUUGGUCAGUAUGACAUGGCGGCAGUGGUAUCCACAAUGUUGCUCGUCACCGGGGUGACUACAUUGCUGCACAUGUUUGUUGGAACGAGACUAUCCACUUGUGCAGGGUCCAUCCUUUUUAUACCUGGCUCCUGCCCUUGCGAUCAUCAACUCACAAGAAUUCUUUGGGAUCAAUGAUAAUAAUUCUAAACACAUAAUGAAGCACCUGCAGGGAGCUAUAAUAAUUGGAGGUGCAUUCCAAGUGUUUUUGGGAUAUAGAGGCCUCAUGUCACUAUUUCUUAGGUUGAUAAAUCCAGUGGCGAUGAGCUCCACCUGCUGCUGCUUAUAAGGUAGGUGGAGAUGGUCGAGAAAUUGAGACACAUGGUUCUGCUGUCCUGGGUAACUUCUGCGACAAGCGCAUUCGAUGGUACAAAAGACAUAAUGGAAGCUCUUAGCAACAAACAUACUAAUCUAGCCAAUGAGCUUGAGAAUUCUGAAGAAGUACCAUUUCCAGGUCACUUGACAUCCAAGAGCAAUGUGUGCAGCUUUAGGGUGGUGCUGCUGGAGCUCAUGAUAGGCAGACGGUCAAUGGACAAGAGCCGAUCAGCAGGUCUGCCACCAGAAGUUUCUUUUAUGCUGGAUUUGUGGUAUGAAGAAACUUUGUUGAGGUAUUAUGCACCAGCUUUGGGGUUCUUGAUGUUUGCUGUUGGUGUAAACUCAAGCGCCAAGGAUUUGAUUGAAACAAUAAAAAGGCCAGAUGCUAUUGCUGCGGGCUAUAUCAGACAGUUUGUCAAGCUCGUCACCGUCGACGACCCUUUCAUCACCACGGACUACAUGGUUUCGGGAGGAUCAACGGGCUCGUGGCCAGGGUCCCCCUCUAGAAAUGUGGGGAAAAUUGAUGAGGCAUCAGAACUGAGGAGAACUGUGAGUGAUAUCAAGCACAAUGUUCAGACACAGCUUAGCGAGAAUGCUAAGACCAAUAAACGAGUGAUUGGGAUUCACAAAGAAUUGCAGAAACUGCAUAGAGAAGCUAUUCAGAACACCAUCAAUUCAGUCACCAUGGUAGCAACCCUGAUUGCCUCCAUUGCCUUCGUUGUCAUAUUCAAUUUGCCAGGUCAAUACUUCCAAGAUGUGAAUAGUGGGGGAGACAUUGGUGAGGCUCAAACAACUAUGAUUGUGAGUGAGGCGGUGGUGGUGGACACGCGCAGGACGGGACGGACGAAGCAUCUUCCAAGCCGGGGCAGAGCGCUGUCGAAGCAGCCAGCAACAAAAGCUUUCGCUGGAGCCGCUGGUGGAGUACAGAGACGUGGGAACCAGGAAGGGUAUUGCUGUUGACCGAUUAGUUGGGUCUCAAGAUCUCAGAAGUAAAGACGAUUUUCUGACAAGAGCACUGGAACAUAUUCUUAUUCUCAAGACGAAAGGGAUAAUCGAUGAGAAGAAGAAAGAUGACGAAGAUGACGAUGAAGAAAGCGAGGCUAAGAAUAGGAGGGUUAGGUCCUCAACUGCUCAAGCCUCUGACUCAGACUGAACCUAAGAUGAGGAUUGAGGACUCACCUUUUUUGCACUUUGGAUUUUGUUUGUUUGUUCUGUGAUGUGCUGUAUUGUACUGUAAUUGAUUUGUGUAACCAUGUAUCGGUACCAGACACCACAACAAGAACAUGUACAAGAGAUUCUUUAGCAUCCAUUGUGUGUAAAAGUUAGGGUUUGUGGCUGCCUUUUAUUUCAUUUUUCCUUAGCUGUCAUAGGAUGGUACAACACAACAAGAACAUGUACAAGUAUGUCAUAGCUUGUCUUUCUUGCUUCUUAAGACAUUGUUCUGCCUUUUGGCACUUAUGGCAUAUGACUUUUUCACAAA